CCUACGGGAGGCACCAGUCGGGAAUUUUGCCCAAUGGACGAAAGUCUGAGGCAGCAACUCCGCGUGAGGGAUGAAGGCUCUCGGGUCGUGAACCUCUUCUCUCAGGGAAGAUCCAAGACGGUACCUGAGGAAUAAGCCACGGCUAACUACGUGCCAGCAGCCGCGGUAAUACGUAGGUGGCAAGCGUUGUCCGGAUUUACUGGGCGUAAAGAGCGCGCAGGCGGCUGGUCAAGUCCGAUGUGAAAUCUCCCGGCUCAACUGGGAAACUGCAUCGGAAACUGAUCAGCUUGAAGGUGGGAGAGGGUAGUGGAAUUCCCGGUGUAGUGGUGAAAUGCGUAGAUAUCGGGAGGAACACCAGUGGCGAAGGCGACUACCUGGCCCAUUCUUGACGCUGAGGCGCGAAAGCUAGGGGAGCGAACGGGAUUAGAUACCCCCGUAGUC
This 441-nucleotide ribosomal RNA is filed under the name uncultured bacterium. RNAcentral describes it as "bacterial SSU rRNA". It matches the Rfam family "Bacterial small subunit ribosomal RNA", at positions 338 to 795 of the family's 1533-position model. The record is from RNAcentral.